RNAcentral lists this transfer RNA (74 nucleotides) under Stegodyphus dumicola. Its description in RNAcentral is "tRNA-Ile". It matches the Rfam family "tRNA". Rfam says of the family: Transfer RNA (tRNA) molecules are approximately 80 nucleotides in length. Their secondary structure includes four short double-helical elements and three loops (D, anti-codon, and T loops). The record is from RNAcentral. Lineage: Eukaryota; Metazoa; Arthropoda; Arachnida; Araneae; Eresidae.
GCCUUCGUGGUGUAGUGGUUCUGCACGCUGGGCCGAUGUUCCAGAGGUCCGUGGUUCGAUUCCCGGCGAAGGCG